RNAcentral lists this ribosomal RNA (260 nucleotides) under Priestia megaterium. RNAcentral's name for it is "Bacillus megaterium partial 16S ribosomal RNA". It matches the Rfam family "Bacterial small subunit ribosomal RNA", at positions 563 to 817 of the family's 1533-position model. Lineage: Bacteria; Bacillati; Bacillota; Bacilli; Caryophanales; Bacillaceae. The record is from RNAcentral.
GCGUAAGCGCGCGCAGGCGGUUUCUUAAGUCUGAUGUGAAAGCCCACGCCUCUACCGUGGAGGGUCAUUGGAAACUGGGGAACUUGAGUGCCCUAGAGAAAAGCGGAAUUCCACGUGUAGCGGUGAAAUGCGUAGAGAUGUGGAGGAACACCAGUGGCGAAGGCUUUCUCUUUGGUCUGUAACUGACGCUGAGGCGCGAAAGCGUGGGGAGCAAACUUGAUUACAUACCCUGGUAGCCCACGCCGUAAACGAUGAGUGCU